UGCACCGUUUUUUCUGUUUCU
RNAcentral lists this non-coding RNA (21 nucleotides) under Caenorhabditis elegans. The record is from RNAcentral. Lineage: Eukaryota; Metazoa; Nematoda; Chromadorea; Rhabditida; Rhabditidae.